UUGACGGUACCUAACCAGAAAGCCACGGCUAACUACGUGCCAGCAGCCGCGGUAAUACGUAGGUGGCAAGCGUUGUCCGGAAUUAUUGGGCGUAAAGGGCUCGCAGGCGGUUUCUUAAGUCUGAUGUGAAAGCCCCCGGCUCAACCGGGGAGGGUCAUUGGAAACUGGGAAACUUGAGUGCAGAAGAGGAGAGUGGAAUUCCACGUGUAGCGGUGAAAUGCGUAGAGAUGUGGAGGAACACCAGUGGCGAAGGCGACUCUCUGGUCUGUAACUGACGCUGAGGAGCGAAAGCGUGGGGAGCGAACAGGAUUAGAUACCCUGGUAGUCCACGCCGUAAACGAUGAGUGCUAAGUGUUAGGGGGUUUCCGCCCCUUAGUGCUGCAGCUAACGCAUUAAGCACUCCGCCUGGGGAGUACGGUCGCAAGACUGAAACUCAAAGGAAUUGACGGGGGCCCGCACAAGCGGUGGAGCAUGUGGUUUAAUUGGAAGCAACGCGAAGAACCUUACCAGGUCUUGACAUCCUCUGACAACCCUAGAGAUAGGGCUUUCCCUUCGGGGACAGAGUGACAGGUGGUGCAUGGUUGUCGUCAGCUCGUGUCGUGAGAUGUUGGGUUAAGUCCCGCAACGAGCGCAACCCUUGAUCUUAGUUGCCAGCAUUUAGUUGGGCACUUUAAGGUGACUGCCGGUGACAAACCGGAGGAAGGUGGGGAUGACGUCAAAUCAUCAUGCCCCUUAUGACCUGGGCUACACACGUGCUACAAUGGACAGAACAAAGGGGUGCGAGACCGCAAGGUUUAGCCAAUCCCACAAAUCUGUUUUCAGUUCGGAUCGCAGUUUGCAACUUGACUGCGUGAAGCUGGAAUCGCUAGUAAUCGCGGAUCAGCAUGCCGCGGUGAAUACGUUCCCGGGCCUUGUACACNCCGCCCGUCACACCACGAGAGUUUGCAACACCCGAAGUCGGUGAGGUAACCUUUAUGGAGCCAGCCGCCGAAGGUNNNAG
This 1000-nucleotide ribosomal RNA is filed under the name Bacillus pumilus. Its description in RNAcentral is "bacterial SSU rRNA". It matches the Rfam family "Bacterial small subunit ribosomal RNA", at positions 469 to 1468 of the family's 1533-position model. The record is from RNAcentral. Lineage: Bacteria; Bacillati; Bacillota; Bacilli; Caryophanales; Bacillaceae.